GUCUCAACAGGCGUAUAGCCUUCAAACUGUACUCACACAAUAUGGUGCAUUUGAAAGGCCGUAACGCACAGGUCUGGAUCAGCCAACGGAAUGAGGGCCCAUGCAGCAGAGAACCUUGAAGCACAAACAAAACAAGCCCUAUUUAGUUGAAAGCACUGAAGCGGCAUCAAGGUCCAAGGCGAUGCAGGCACUUGGCCUACAGGCGCCCUGUCAGCUUGUGCUGAGCAGACAGCCCCUCAGGCACAGGCACCCGCAUCCACAUAAGGAGGGUGGUCAUGAGCAGCUUCGUCAAAAACAAGUGCCAUCAGGUUGAAGACAUAGUCUGUGAAGUGUGAAAAGGUCUUUAUGUUCUUUUGGCACUUGGAGUAUUUUCUUCGGAUAAAUGGUUUAUUUUUUUGGUAAAACUUUUUGGGGUAAAACCUUUGUAAAAGUCCUCCCUUUAGAUGUUGUCAUUUGUGGAUGGUCAGCAUUCUCAUUGAAGUGAAUUGCUGCCAGGUAUAAUCUGGACCACAAGACAAACAACCAAUUCAAUAAUAUAUUGACCGUUAGACCUGAUGUCUCCUGUCCACUGUUCAUGAAUCACACCUUUACAGGCCAAAACUCUCUCAGACAGAAUAUUUUGGUGAGUCCUCUUUUAUAUGUUACCCAG
Clupea harengus (Atlantic herring) is the source of this 649-nucleotide long non-coding RNA. The record is from Ensembl. NCBI's taxonomy places the organism in Eukaryota, Metazoa, Chordata, Actinopteri, Clupeiformes, Clupeidae.